GAUGAACGCCGGCGGCGUGCCUAAUACAUGCAAGUCGAGCGAACGGAUAAGGAGCUUGCUCCUUUGAAGUUAGCGGCGGACGGGUGAGUAACACGUGGGCAACCUACCUAUAGGACUGGAAUAACUUCGGGAAACCGGAGCUAAUGCCGGAUAACAUUUGGAACCGCAUGGCUCUAAAGUAAAAGAUGGUUUUGCUAUCACUUAUAGAUGGACCCGCGCCGUAUUAGCUAGUUGGUAAGGUAACGGCUUACCAAGGCAACGAUACGUAGCCGACCUGGGAGGGUGAUCGGCCAUACUGGAACUGAGACACGGUCCAG
This 317-nucleotide ribosomal RNA is filed under the name uncultured bacterium. RNAcentral describes it as "bacterial SSU rRNA". It matches the Rfam family "Bacterial small subunit ribosomal RNA", at positions 28 to 334 of the family's 1533-position model. The record is from RNAcentral.